AGCAGUCGCCACGGUAAUACAGAGGGUGCGAGCGUUAAUCGGAUUUACUGGGCGUAAAGCGUGCGUAGGCGGCUUUUUAAGUCGGAUGUGAAAUCCCUGAGCUUAACUUAGGAAUUGCAUUCGAUACUGGGAAGCUAGAGUAUGGGAGAGGAUGGUAGAAUUCCAGGUGUAGCGGUGAAAUGCGUAGAGAUCUGGAGGAAUACCGAUGGCGAAGGCAGCCAUCUGGCCUAAUACUGACGCUGAGGUACGAAAGCAUGGGGAGCAAACAGGAUUAGAUACCCGAGUAGUCCCUGUCUCUUAUAC
Molecule: ribosomal RNA, 303 nt
Filed under: uncultured bacterium
Lineage: Bacteria
Description: partial 16S ribosomal RNA
Rfam family: Bacterial small subunit ribosomal RNA
Source: RNAcentral